GACGAACGCUGGCGGCGUGCUUAACACAUGCAAGUCGAACGGAAAGGCCCUGCUUUUGUGGGGUGCUCGAGUGGCGAACGGGUGCGUAACACGUGAGUAACCUGCCCUUGACUUUGGGAUAACUUCAGGAAACUGGGGCUAAUACCGGAUAGGAUCUCCUGCUGCAUGGUGGGGGUUGGAAAGUUUCGGCGGUUGGGGAUGGACUCGCGGCUUAUCAGCUUGUUGGUGGGGUAGUGGCUUACCAAGGCUUUGACGGGUAGCCGGCCUGAGAGGGUGACCGGCCACAUUGGUACUGAGAUACGGCCCAGACGCCUACGGGAGGCAGCAGUGGGGAAUAUUGCACAAUGGGCGGAAGCCUGAUGCAGCAACGCCGCGUGCGGGAUGACGGCCUUCGGGUUGUAAACCGCUUUCGCCUGUGACGAAGCGUGAGUGACGGUAAUGGGUAAAGAAGCACCGGCUAACUACGUG
Molecule: ribosomal RNA, 468 nt
Filed under: uncultured bacterium
Lineage: Bacteria
Description: partial 16S ribosomal RNA
Rfam family: Bacterial small subunit ribosomal RNA
Source: RNAcentral